GUUUUUAGAGUGUUUGGAAGCACGUUAGAAUUUCAUUUUAAAAGUAUAAAAUAAUUUAUUAAAAAUA
Molecule: transfer RNA, 67 nt
Filed under: Sinotaia quadrata
Lineage: Eukaryota; Metazoa; Mollusca; Gastropoda; Architaenioglossa; Viviparidae
Also listed under: 1 other name
Description: tRNA-Glu
Source: RNAcentral